GCUGGUGUGGUUGUUGGGAGGUUAGGUUGGAUGUGGCUUUUGAAGCAGUUUUUUAAAACCAGCACUCUUAAAGGUUUGCUUUGCUUCUGUAUUUAUGGGGGCUUAGAGAAUGAAGUUGUCUAGGAUAGAAAAUUGUCAGGUUAAGACAUGAACUGGAUAAGAGAUAAGUUAGAAAUCAGGGUGGAAAGGAGGCAUCAAGAGUUGGAGGAAAUGUAUGAGUCCAAAAAAGAAGAAAAUUGGGCUUCAGGCAUCAGAUUCAUCACUUGGGCUGGAAAUGAAGGGAAGUCAAUGCUGCCCUUCAGCUUUGCUCAACGUAAUAGCAGGAGAAAGUCUUGCAACUGUCAGCCUUUCUUCCACCAAAAAGGGAAAAUGAGUCCUCAGCUGCAGCUGAUCCUGGGUCAGAGGACCAUCAUGGUCUGGAAAAGCAUCUAAUCUCAUACAUUCCCCAGAAGAUGCAAAGCUCUGAAGUGUCCGAGUCUAAUGUGGAAUUUAUUUUAUGACAAAACAGAAGAUACUUACAGAUGAAAAAUAGAUACCAAGAAUAAGUUGUACAUUUUUCUUUUUGAGUAUGAGG
Molecule: long non-coding RNA, 574 nt
Organism: Neopsephotus bourkii (Bourke's parrot)
Lineage: Eukaryota; Metazoa; Chordata; Aves; Psittaciformes; Psittacidae
Exons: 3
Source: RefSeq, a predicted model, not a curated record